AGAGAGAGACAUGCGCGCAUAUCAAUAAGCGGAGGAAAAGAAACUAACAAGGAUUCCCUUAGUAACGGCGAGUGAAGCGGGAAGAGCUCAAAUUUGAAAUCUUCAAGGUUUUACCUUGACGAAUUGUAGUUUAAAGAAGUGUUUUUCUGCUGAAGUUUUGGUAAAAGUUCUUUGGAAUAGGACAUCAUAGAGGGUGAGAAUCCCGUAUUUGACCAUUAUUUUCAGCUUUGUGAUACACUUUCAAAGAGUCGGAUUGUUUGGGAAUGCAGUCCAAAAUGGGUGGUAAAUUUCAUCUAAAGCUAAAUAUUGGCGAGAGACCGAUAGCGAACAAGUACCGUGAGGGAAAGAUGAAAAGAACUUUGAAAAGAGAGUUAAACAGUACGUGAAAUUGUCAAAAGGGAAGCGUUUGACACCAGUGUUGUUUUCUCGAAAAUCAAUUAAAAAUGGCUCGAUUUUGUAUUGUUGAGACCUUAAAAGCUCACUGUACAUUUUUCGUGUCUUUUUUAAUGCACUUUUCGUUUAACAAGUCAACAUCAGUUUCUUUUGUUGUAAAAGGGUCAUUGGAAGGUGGCUUUCUUUUCGGAGAAAGUGUUUAUAGCCUUUGGCCUCUGCAAUCGAAGAGACUGAGGUCUGCAGCGUAGACUCUUCGGGGUUAGAUACAUUUGUGCUAAGUUAUAGCUUUUUAUAGACAACUUGUUGACUAUAAUUAGUCUUGUAGCUUACUCGCUUAUGCUAUUUUACCUACGCUUAGGAUGUUGAAGAUGUAGCACAUCAU
This 775-nucleotide ribosomal RNA is filed under the name uncultured Neocallimastigales. Its description in RNAcentral is "partial large subunit ribosomal RNA". It matches the Rfam family "Eukaryotic large subunit ribosomal RNA", at positions 23 to 634 of the family's 3401-position model. The record is from RNAcentral. Lineage: Eukaryota; Fungi; Neocallimastigomycota; Neocallimastigomycetes; Neocallimastigales.